AUGACUGCAAUUUUAGAGAGACGCGAAAGUACAAGCCUGUGGGGUCGCUUCUGCAACUGGAUAACUAGCACUGAAAAUCGUCUUUACAUCGGAUGGUUCGGUGUUUUGAUGAUCCCUACCUUAUUGACCGCAACUUCUGUAUUUAUUAUCGCCUUCAUCGCUGCCCCUCCAGUAGAUAUUGAUGGUAUUCGUGAGCCUGUUUCUGGUUCUUUACUUUAUGGAAACAAUAUUAUCUCUGGUGCUAUUAUCCCUACUUCUGCGGCGAUCGGAUUGCACUUUUACCCAAUUUGGGAAGCCGCAUCUGUUGAUGAGUGGUUAUACAAUGGUGGUCCUUAUGAGCUAAUUGUUCUACACUUCUUACUUGGUGUAGCUUGUUAUAUGGGUCGUGAGUGGGAACUUAGUUUCCGUCUGGGUAUGCGUCCUUGGAUUGCUGUUGCAUAUUCAGCUCCUGUUGCAGCUGCUACUGCUGUUUUCUUGAUUUACCCUAUUGGUCAAGGAAGCUUUUCUGAUGGUAUGCCUUUAGGAAUCUCUGGUACUUUCAACUUUAUGAUUGUAUUCCAGGCAGAGCACAACAUCCUUAUGCAUCCAUUCCACAUGUUAGGUGUAGCUGGUGUAUUCGGCGGUUCCCUAUUCAGUGCUAUGCAUGGUUCCUUGGUAACCUCUAGUUUGAUCAGGGAAACUACUGAAAAUGAAUCUGCUAAUGAGGGUUACAAAUUUGGUCAAGAGGAAGAAACUUAUAAUAUUGUGGCUGCUCAUGGUUAUUUUGGCUGA
Molecule: ribosomal RNA, 771 nt
Filed under: Triticum aestivum (bread wheat)
Lineage: Eukaryota; Viridiplantae; Streptophyta; Magnoliopsida; Poales; Poaceae
Description: partial small subunit ribosomal RNA
Source: RNAcentral